GAUGAAGAACGUAGUGAAAUGCGAUAAGUAAUGUGAAUUGCAGAAUUCCGUGAAUCAUCGAAUCUUUGAACGCACAUUGCGCCCCCUGGCAUUCCGGGGGGCAUGCCUGUCCGAGCGUCAUUUCUGCCCUCCAGCCCGGCUGGGUGUUGGGCGCUGUCCCCCCGGGGACACGCCCCAAAGGCAGUGGCGGCGCCGCGUCGGGUCCUCGAGCGUAUGGGGCUUUGUCACCCGCUCGGGACGGACUCGUCGGCGCUGGUCUUCCUCCAGGCGACUCUUCGGGGCUCGUCUUCCUUCGGUUGACCUCGGAUCAGGUAGGGUUACCCGCUGAACUUAAGCAUAUCAAUAAGCGGAGGA
RNAcentral lists this unclassified non-coding RNA (354 nucleotides) under soil metagenome. RNAcentral describes it as "partial contains 5.8S ribosomal RNA, internal transcribed spacer 2, and large subunit ribosomal RNA". The stretch from base 1 to 120 matches the Rfam family "5.8S ribosomal RNA", at positions 35 to 154 of the family's 154-position model. The record is from RNAcentral.